RNAcentral lists this ribosomal RNA (371 nucleotides) under uncultured Anaerolineaceae bacterium. Its description in RNAcentral is "bacterial SSU rRNA". It matches the Rfam family "Bacterial small subunit ribosomal RNA", at positions 992 to 1382 of the family's 1533-position model. The record is from RNAcentral. Lineage: Bacteria; Bacillati; Chloroflexota; Anaerolineae; Anaerolineales; Anaerolineaceae.
UUGUAGGGAACUGAAAGGGACCGACCUUCGGGAGCCUAUACAGGUGUUGCAUGGCUGUCGUCAGCUCGUGUCGUGAGAUGUUCGGUUAAGUCCGCUAACGAGCGCAACCCUCGUCGUAUGUUAUAUGUGUCAUACGAGACUGCCGGUAAAAAGCCGGAGGAAGGUGAGGAUGAUGUCAAGUCAGCAUGACCUUUAUAUCCAGGGCUACACACACGCUACAAUGGUCUGUACAAUGGGUAGCCAAGCCGCGAGGCGGAGCCAAUCCUGAAAGCAGGCCUCAGUUCAGAUUGUAGGCUGAAACUGCCUGCAUGAAGUUGGAGUUGCUAGUAGCCGCAGGUCAGCACACUGCGGUGAAUACGUUCUCGGGCCUU